UUUUGUCUUUGUUAUAUUUUUCACUGUUGAGAUCAAAUCUCAAAUUACAUUGCAUGAUAAUGUGAAUUACUAUCUAUAAUCUUUGUGAUCGAUUAUAUAUUGAUCCUUUUAUUAGUUGCGACCAGAAACUUCAAGCAGUUUUGAGUUGUAUUCGAUUCCACACAAAUGGCAAAAGCGGUUCUACCGGUCUUAGAGAAAGCCAUUUUUACUGCAUUUUUCAACGCGGCCGAUAAGAAUAAAGAUGGAUACCUGUCAAUAACCGAAUUAGACAGUGUUGUUGCUCAACUUGGACUUAAUUUAUCAAUGGCGGAGAUACAGACUACUUUUACUGAUAUGGACACCAAUAAGGACUGGAAGAUUAGUUUGGAAGAAUUUCUGAACGGAAUGCAAUAUCUAGACCCAAACAAACGCAAAGCCGCCAUGGACGUUGCUACAAAAUGAUAGACAAUAUACUCUUAAUAUUUCUUCAGCUGUUUUCCAACAUUUUUAAAUAUAUACAUUAUUUUCGUUGUUGUACCCGCCAAUUUAUGGUUUCAAUAAUAAUAAUUUUUAAAAAAUCAGUGUAAUAAAAAUACGCCUAAGAAGUGUUUGUAUUUGUAUCAGAUUAGUGUUAUAUUAUUAACAUAACAGUACAUGGACCAAGCUGUGGUUUUGGUUUAUAUGUCUAUACCUUUGGCAGAAAAAUAAAUCUAGGAACCGUGGAAGAAUUGGUCACAGUAAGUUUCAGAUUAGGACACAAUGUUCGAAACCAUAUUGUGUUGUUGGUAUAUGUUUUAGACGAUGCUUCUUGUAACAUCAAGUAUUAUUGUAUCUGAGACCAUCCGGUAGUUUAUAAAUAUAUUUUAAUGGGAUGAUGCCCACUACGAAAAUAAGUUUUUGUAUUAAUCGCCGCAUAUAAUUCACGAAUAGGGCAUCCUGUUAAAUAUUCAUCUUGUCGGUAAUUGUAAAGCAAUUUAAUUUUAAUAAAUGUUCAUCGAAAUGUU
Molecule: long non-coding RNA, 983 nt
Organism: Patella vulgata (common limpet)
Lineage: Eukaryota; Metazoa; Mollusca; Gastropoda; Patellidae
Exons: 3
Source: RefSeq, a predicted model, not a curated record